RNAcentral lists this long non-coding RNA (2301 nucleotides) under Populus tremula. Its description in RNAcentral is "long non-coding RNA (PTRE_LNC001572)". The record is from RNAcentral. Lineage: Eukaryota; Viridiplantae; Streptophyta; Magnoliopsida; Malpighiales; Salicaceae.
AAGGUUUCAACAACAAUCUUAUUUUCCCAGAAAGCAAUCUAGUGGAUUCAGAUCAAGAUUUUCACUUUGUAAACUUGCACUAUACCUUCUGCUCGUACCUGCAGUUCGAGUUAUGAUCCAGCGAAAAAUCCCAUUGCAGUCGCCAUAUAUGGCCGGAUAAAUUCUUGUCAUGACCUCUUUAUAUGCUUUAUGUUAACUAUCCAAUAUAGCCGGCAGCCGGCAACUCUGAAACUCGAAUUUAUAUGGGUUGCCAGAGGUGACAAAUAGCUUAUUUGCUCUGUGCAAUAAAAGGAUUGAUUUUCGCCAUUGUUUCUAACUUUAUAUAUUACACUGCUAGAUUAGUAUAUUGAAUGGUUACGUUGAAAUUUCCUGCUGAUCGGCCAACAAGAAGCCCAACUAUUUGUAAGAAAUCACUCUCUAAUUUUCUUAAACACUACUCUUAUUUCAACUUUAUCAUGGAUACAACAAGGAAAAGAAGUCCAGGGCAGAAUGCUUAUGAUCAAAGAUUGAGUUAUUUUUAUGUUUUCUUAAUAAUAUGAUCGUAUUUUUGUUAAAUCUGGAUAAUUAUGUGGACAUAAUUUAGUACACCAUAAUGAUAAUAGUUUAUUUAUUAUUUUAUUACUUUUAUCCCAUUCAAAAUAUUGAAUUCAAAACUAACAGUAGGAUUGGGAACAAGAACAGUGAUUCAAAUCCUGUUAUUGGAUCAUCCUGACUUUGAAUAGAGCUUGCCUGGCUAUGUUGUUUUGGGUAAUGAGGGGUGAUUUUUCGGUAUGUGAGGGUAUUGUUGUGCAACCUAGCUAGGUUGUAAGCUUGUGUUGAGUGAUUUUGGCUCAAACAUUUUUACUAGGUUCUUGAUUUCUACCUCCAAGCCUCCUAGGAAGAACACCAAGGCCUGCUUCUCUGAGAUUUGUGCUCUAUUCCAUAGCAUAUCAAAGUCCCUGAUAUAACCUUCCAAGUCUCCUUCCUGCUUGUGCUCGGUGAGUUCUUCUAAGGGGUCCUUUUGACCUCCAAAUCGACAGCACAAUGCAUCCACAUAUUCUGCCCAUGUAACCUCAUGUCCUUCUAGGUUUCUGGUAUAAUUCUGAUGCCAGUAAAGUGCCAAGCCAUCCAAAUAAUAUGAAGCUAGUUUCAGUUUGUCAGUCUCAGGAAUUUCUUCUAAGUCGAAAUACUGGUUGCAUUUGUACAACCAUUUAUGCACUUCUUCCCCUUCAAAAGAAGGGAAAUCUCGCCGGGGUCUGCGUGACCUGUAGGUAGGUGGUCCUUCUCCUGUCCAAUCAUGGUUGCUGGCCGGAGCAGGGUGUUGGGGCAUUCGAACAUGCUGGGAGGAACUUGCUUCACCAGCCAAGGUUUGCAGAGUUUGUUUAAUAGAGAUUUGUUGAUUUGCCAUUUCCUUCAUCAUGGCUUUCAGCUGGGCUAGGUCAUCUGACUGAGCGUGCAACUUUGACUUCUAUUCCAUUGACUCUUUGAUUAGCAGCUUCCAAAGAAUCAUCCAUUCUUCUUACAUCUUGGGAUCUAGUUUCUAGUGCCAUUUGUUGAAUCCAAAGAUGAGGGCUCUGAUAUCAAUUUGCUGCAGGUUAACUGGAAGCCUUGAAUAAAGCAAGGGAAGAACGAAGGAGGAAGAGGUUAGAGAAGGGAGAAGAAGAUUAUCACGUUCAGAACGUGUUGAGAGAAAGAGAGAACAGGGGAUAGAAUCUAAGAAUUCUGUUAUAAUUUUCCACACCUUUCUGUUACAAUGAUUAGGGAAUUUAAAGACAAUAUUGUAAAUGCCAGCGUGGCAUCACUACGUGGCUGUACCAGCUGGCUUACUAAAAUAUAAAAUGAAGCUGCACAAAACGCAGCCGUUUGGUUCCAUUUAUUUAAAUUCAAAAUCCUGUUUCAGUUUCCCCUUUGCUCGUUUGUGCCUUCUUUCAUUCUGUUCAUGACAGGUAACCCUUUGAAUUGGUCGUAGCUUUGCAGGGAUCACAAGGAGUCAAGCCAAGGUUUCAACAACAAUCUUAUUUUCCCAGAAAGCAAUCUAGUGGAUUCAGAUCAAGAUUUUCACUUUGUAAACUUGCACUAUACCUUCUGCUCGUACCUGCAGUUCGAGUUAUGAUCCAGCGAAAAAUCCUAUUGCAGUUGCCAUAUAUGGCCGGAUAAAUUCUCGUCAUGACCUCUUUAUAUGCUUUAUGUUAACUAUCCAAUAUAGCCGGCUGCCGGCAGCCGGCAACACUGAAACUCGAUUUUAUAUGGGUUGCCAGAGGUGACAAAUAGCUUAUUUGCUCUGUGCAAUAAAAGGAUUGAUUUUCGCCAUUGUUUCUAACU